GAUGAAGAACGCAGCGAAAUGCGAUAAGUAGUGUGAAUUGCAGAAUUCAGUGAAUCAUCGAAUCUUUGAACGCACAUUGCGCCACUUGGUAUUCCAUGGGGCAUGCCUGUUCGAGCGUCAUUUGUACCUUCAAGCCUUGCUUGGUGUUGGGUGUUUGUCUCGCCUCUGCGCGCAGACUCGCCUCAAAACAAUUGGCAGCCGGCGUAUUGAUUUCGGAGCGCAGUACAUCUCGCGCUUUGCACUCAGAACGACGACGUCCAAAAGUACAUUUUUACACUCUUGACCUCGGAUCAGGUAGGGAUACCCGAUGAACGUAAGCAUAUCAAUAAGCGGAGGA
Molecule: unclassified non-coding RNA, 337 nt
Filed under: soil metagenome
Description: partial contains 5.8S ribosomal RNA, internal transcribed spacer 2, and large subunit ribosomal RNA
Rfam family: 5.8S ribosomal RNA (bases 1-120)
Source: RNAcentral